Molecule: ribosomal RNA, 492 nt
Filed under: uncultured Pseudomonadota bacterium
Lineage: Bacteria; Pseudomonadati; Pseudomonadota
Description: bacterial SSU rRNA
Rfam family: Bacterial small subunit ribosomal RNA
Source: RNAcentral
UGGGGAAUAUUGGACAAUGGGCGCAAGCCUGAUCCAGCCAUGCCGCGUGAGUGAUGAAGGCCUUAGGGUUGUAAAGCUCUUUCACCGGGGACGAUGAUGACGGUACCCGGAGAAGAAGCCCCGGCUAACUUCGUGCCAGCAGCCGCGGUAAUACGAAGGGGGCAAGCGUUGUUCGGAAUUACUGGGCGUAAAGGGCGCGUAGGCGGCCGCUCAAGUCAGGUGUGAAAUCCCCGGGCUCAACCUGGGAACUGCACUUGAAACUGUGUGGCUUGAAUCCGUGAGAGGUUGGUGGAAUUCCCAGUGUAGAGGUGAAAUUCGUAGAUAUUGGGAAGACACCGGUGGCGAAGGCGGCCAACUGGCACGGUAUUGACGCUGAGGCGCGAAAGCGUGGGGAGCAAACAGGAUUAGAUACCCUGGUAGUCCACGCCGUAAACGAUGUGCGCUAGCCGUCGGGCAGCAUGCUGUUCGGUGGCGCAGCUAACGCAUUAAGCG